CCUGCCGGCGACCGGCGCACGGGUGAGUAACACGUAUGGAACCUGCCCGCCACAGGGGGAUAACCCGCGGAAACGCGGCCUAAUACCCCGUGACGCCACCGGAGGGCAUCCUCCGGUGGCCAAAGGAGCGAUCCGGUGGCGGAUGGGCAUGCGGCGCAUUAGCUAGACGGCGGGGUGACGGCCCACCGUGGCGACGAUGCGUAGGGGUUCUGAGAGGAACGGCCCCCCACACUGGGACUGAGACACGGCCCAGACUCCUACGGAAGGCAGCAG
This 273-nucleotide ribosomal RNA is filed under the name uncultured bacterium. Its description in RNAcentral is "partial 16S ribosomal RNA". It matches the Rfam family "Bacterial small subunit ribosomal RNA", at positions 84 to 354 of the family's 1533-position model. The record is from RNAcentral.